Molecule: ribosomal RNA, 368 nt
Filed under: uncultured bacterium
Lineage: Bacteria
Description: bacterial SSU rRNA
Rfam family: Bacterial small subunit ribosomal RNA
Source: RNAcentral
UGGGGAAUUUUGGACAAUGGGGGCAAGCGUGAUCCAGCAAUGCCGCGUGCAGGAAGAAGGCCUUCGGGUUGUAAAAUGCUUUUGUCAGGGAAGAAAUAUUCUGGGGUAAUACCCCGGGAGGAUGACGGUACACGAAGAAUAAGCACCGGGUAAAUACGUGCCAGCAGCCGCGGUAAUAUGUAGGGUGCGAGCGUUAAUCUGAAUUAUUGGGGGUAAAGCGUGCGCAGGGGGCUUUGCAAGACAGAUGUGAAAUCUCCGGGCUCAACCUGGGAACUGCAUUUGUGACUGCAAGGCUAGAGUACGGCAGAGGGGGAUGGAAUUCCGCGUGUAGCAGUGAAAUGCGUAGAUAUGCGGAGAACACCAAGGGA